GGGCGGCAUGGAAUCUGGACGAGAGAGAGAGAGAGAGAGUUCAGCUUUUUAAAGACAUCGGAUGCUCGUUUGGAAGACGGGUUGAUGGUUUUGACCCGAUUACGACAAAGUGCAAAGAUGAAACGGUAUGUGUGUUGUACCUGGAUAGCUGCCGCCUUCCAGGUUAUCGUAGCUGUUGGGCACCGGAGAGGCACUGCCAGUACUGGAAGAGGAAGUGUCACCACCUGAGAGAGAAAGAGUGACACAGAGAGAAGAAUUCAAUCAAUGUGAGCUGAACAAGGACAGAACAAAAAGGACUAAAGAAGCAAAACAAAAACAAAGACUUGAGAAAAUGAAGGUCAACAACUGUGAGUCAAUAAAAAACGAAAGGCCGGAGGGUCAAAAAGAGGAUAAUAAUGAAACAAGGGGAGAAAAAAAAAAAAAAAAAAAGG
Cyclopterus lumpus (lumpfish) is the source of this 431-nucleotide long non-coding RNA. RefSeq lists it as uncharacterized. Lineage: Eukaryota; Metazoa; Chordata; Actinopteri; Perciformes; Cyclopteridae. The record is from RefSeq and is a predicted model, not a curated record. The transcript has 2 exons.